RNAcentral lists this unclassified non-coding RNA (218 nucleotides) under Hevea brasiliensis (rubber tree). The record is from RNAcentral. Lineage: Eukaryota; Viridiplantae; Streptophyta; Magnoliopsida; Malpighiales; Euphorbiaceae.
UAAUGGGAUCUUUAACCCACCUGCUAUCUGCCACAUCGGCGGUUACUCUGCGACGUGCAUGUCAUAAACAGCUACAAUUGGUGAAAACCCAAAAAGUGCCAAACCGUAUGACCUUUCCAUGUAUGAGCUGUAAGCCAUUCUCUGUCUGCUGCUCAAAGCAGUCUCCAUGGGAACCUUCACCUGUCACUUAUGUCCCUAGUGACAAUAUUGAAGAUAAA